Homo sapiens (human) is the source of this 935-nucleotide long non-coding RNA. Ensembl annotates it as NSUN5 pseudogene 1. Its record names the gene NSUN5P1. The record is from Ensembl. NCBI's taxonomy places the organism in Eukaryota, Metazoa, Chordata, Mammalia, Primates, Hominidae.
GGGAACAUGGGGCUGUACGCUGCGGUGGCAGGCGUGCUGGCCGGCGUGGAGAGCCGCCAGGGCUCUAUCAAGGGGCUGGUGUACUCCAGCAACUUCCAGCCUUGAUGACUUACAAGCCCUCAAGGGGAAGCAUUUUCUCCUGGACUCCUUGAUGCCGGAGCUGCUGGUGUUUCCCGCCCAGACAGAUCUGCAUGAACACCCACUGUACCGGGCCGGACACCUCAUUCUGCAGGACAGGGCCAGCUGUCUCCCAGCCAUGCUGCUGGACCCCUGCCAGGCUCCCAUGUCAUCGAUGCCUGUGCCGCCCCAGGCAAUAAGACCAGUCACUUGGCUGCUCUUCUGAAGAACCAAGGGUAUGCCGAGCAGACAGCUGGAGGAUCCCGGGGCAGGGACACCUAGCCCGCGGCUCGUCUACUCCAUGUGCUCCCUCUGCCAGGAGGAGAAUGAAGACAUGGUACCAGAUGCGCUGCAGCAGAACCCGGGCGCCUUCAGGCUAGCUCCCGCCCUGCCUGCCCGGCCCCACCGAGGCCUGAGCACGUUCCCGGGUGCCGAGCACUGCCUCCGGGCUUCCCCCAAGACCACGCUUAGCGGUGGCUUCUUCGUUGCUGUAAUUGAACGGGUCGAGAUGCCGAUCUCAGCCUCACAGGCCAAAGCAUCAGCACCAGAACGCACACCCAGCCCAGCCCCAAAGAGAAAGAAGAGACAGCAAAGAGCCGCAGCCGGUGCUUGCACACCGCCUUGCACAUAGCAGAGGCUCCAGGCUGACUCCUUCCUGGUGGGAAAGGAAGAUGCCUGUCCUCUCCGUGGAGGACCCUGGGCCCUCACCGCAGGCAGCAGUUUGCAUUUUGAAAGGUUAUUGGGUCCCUUCCUCGGGCUGUGUUCUUGCUGGUGAGCAAAAGUGUUGCCUGCAGAAAUAAAAUGCAGAACGUACUCUA